RNAcentral lists this ribosomal RNA (477 nucleotides) under uncultured bacterium. Its description in RNAcentral is "bacterial SSU rRNA". It matches the Rfam family "Bacterial small subunit ribosomal RNA", at positions 365 to 832 of the family's 1533-position model. The record is from RNAcentral.
UUCGCAAUGCCCGAAAGGGUGACGAAGCGACGCCGCGUGUGGGAAGAAGGCCUUCGGGUUGUAAACCACUGUCGGGAGUUAAGAAAUGCAAGGAUAUUAAUAGUGUCUUUGUUUGACUAAGGCUCCGGAGGAAGCCACGGCUAACUCUGUGCCAGCAGCCGCGGUAAUACAGAGGCGGCAAGCGCUGUUCGGAAUUAUUGGGCGUAAAGAGCACGUAGGCGGCUAUGUAAGUCGGUUGUGAAAGCCUUCCGCUCAACGGAAGAACAGCAUCCGAUACUACAUGGCUUGAGUGUGGGAGGGGAGAGUGGAACUUCUGGUGGAGCGGUGAAAUGCGUAGAUAUCAGAAGGAACGCCGGCGGCGAAAGCGGCUCUCUGGCCCAUAACUGACGCUGAGUGUGCGAAAGCUAGGGGAGCAAACGGGAUUAGAUACCCCGGUAGUCCUAGCCGUAAACGAUGGGCACUAAGUAGAGGGGUUUU